This 550-nucleotide ribosomal RNA is filed under the name uncultured bacterium. RNAcentral describes it as "bacterial SSU rRNA". It matches the Rfam family "Bacterial small subunit ribosomal RNA", at positions 355 to 896 of the family's 1533-position model. The record is from RNAcentral.
UAGGGAAUCUUCGGCAAUGGGGGGAACCCUGACCGAGCAACGCCGCGUGAGUGAAGAAGGUUUUCGGAUCGUAAAGCUCUGUUGUUAAGGAAGAACGUGUGUGAGAGUGGAAAGUUCACACAGUGACGGUACUUAACCAGAAAGGGACGGCUAACUACGUGCCAGCAGCCGCGGUAAUACGUAGGUUCCGAGCGUUGUCCGGAUUUAUUGGGCGUAAAGCGAGCGCAGGCGGUUAGAUAAGUCUGAAGUGAAAGGCAGUGGCUCAACCAUUGUAGGCUUUGGAAACUGUUUAACUUGAGUGCAGAAGGGGAGAGUGGAAUUCCAUGUGUAGCGGUGAAAUGCGUAGAUAUAUGGAGGAACACCGGUGGCGAAAGCGGCUCUCUGGUCUGUAACUGACGCUGAGGCUCGAAAGCGUGGGGAGCGAACAGGAUUAGAUACCCUGGUAGUCCACGCCGUAAACGAUGAGUGCUAGGUGUUAGGUCCUUUCCGGGACUUAGUGCCGCAGCUAACGCAUUAAGCACUCCGCCUGGGGAGUACGACCGCAAGGUUG